GGAAUAGCGAAGGCGUGGGACGCGAGGAUGGCGUGGGCGGCAGGAAACACGCACCCCUUAGAAGUCAGAACUGGAGCCAAGAGUCCCUGGGAAAAAAUAUGAUAAAACUGAUCCUUGGAGAAAAUGCUCAUUACUAUAAUACCUCAUGAAAUGACAUCACAUUUCUGGAACAGCCUUGCACACUCAUGACUCUGUUUCUGUGGAUCAAGUUUCCCCUCUACCAGAAAUGUCCUUUCACCAUCAACCUUGGUGACUUUGUUCCUGAUCAGCUCAAAGAGUACAUUCUUCUCUAUCCAAGACAUAAUCACUUCCUCUCAGCACAGCACUAUAAUCUGCACAUACUUGUAUUACAUAACUUAAAUAAAAAACUGAAUAAACAUCUGUCUCCCUUGUUUAUUAAAAACUUAAAGUCAGAAACUGCACCUUUUCCUUUGUUACGGUCUCCUCCAAGUCCCUGUGUCAGUCCCAGUUAAAGGAAAAGUUGAGUAAGAGAAUAUAAGGAAUGAACAAUAAACA
Molecule: long non-coding RNA, 516 nt
Organism: Sapajus apella (tufted capuchin)
Lineage: Eukaryota; Metazoa; Chordata; Mammalia; Primates; Cebidae
Exons: 2
Source: RefSeq, a predicted model, not a curated record